This 468-nucleotide ribosomal RNA is filed under the name uncultured bacterium. RNAcentral describes it as "partial 16S ribosomal RNA". It matches the Rfam family "Bacterial small subunit ribosomal RNA", at positions 28 to 507 of the family's 1533-position model. The record is from RNAcentral.
GACGAACGCUGGCGGCGUGCUUAACACAUGCAAGUCGAACGGAAAGGCCCUGCUUUUGUGGGGUGCUCGAGUGGCGAACGGGUGAGUAACACGUGAGUAACCUGCCCUUGACUUUGGGAUAACUUCAGGAAACUGGGGCUAAUACCGGAUAGGAGCUCCUGCUGCAUGGUGGGGGUUGGAAAGUUUCGGCGGUUGGGGAUGGACUCGCGGCUGAUCAGCUUGUUGGUGGGGUAGUGGCUUACCAAGGCUUUGACGGGUAGCCGGCCUGGGAGGGUGACCGGCCACAUUGGGCCUGCGAUACGGCCCAGACUCCUACGGGAGGCAGCAGUGGGGAAUAUUGCACAAUGGGCGGAAGCCUGAUGCAGCAACGCCGCGUGCGGGAUGACGGCCUUCGGGUUGUAAACCGCUUUCGCCUGUGACGAAGCGUGAGUGACGGUAAUGGGUAAAGAAGCACCGGCUAACUACGUG